RNAcentral lists this transfer RNA (89 nucleotides) under Actinoplanes palleronii. Its description in RNAcentral is "tRNA-Ala". Lineage: Bacteria; Bacillati; Actinomycetota; Actinomycetes; Micromonosporales; Micromonosporaceae. The record is from RNAcentral.
GGUCCGGUCCGCGGCGGGCGCGGUCCGGUUCGCGCCGGGCCCGGUCUGGUUCGGGCCGGGCCCGGUCUGGUUCGGGCCGGGCCCGGUCU